GAGACUGAGUGAGUGAGCGUGCUGCCUGCAGACCAAAAGAACCUUUCUGAUCUCAUCAGAUCACAGUUUGAUUUAAAGUCAGCUUCUUCAUCACUCUGAAGAGGAGAUCUCAACUCUUCAGGAGGACCAGGAGACCUGGAGA
Molecule: long non-coding RNA, 142 nt
Organism: Sander lucioperca (pikeperch)
Lineage: Eukaryota; Metazoa; Chordata; Actinopteri; Perciformes; Percidae
Exons: 2
Source: RefSeq, a predicted model, not a curated record